CACCUCUUCCCAUCCCGAACAGAGAAGUUAAGCCCGCCAUCGCCGAUGGUACUGCCCGUAAGGGCGGGAGAGUAGGCCGCCGCCGUCC
This 88-nucleotide ribosomal RNA is filed under the name Candidatus Merdivivens faecigallinarum. The record is from RNAcentral. Lineage: Bacteria; Pseudomonadati; Bacteroidota; Bacteroidia; Bacteroidales; Muribaculaceae.